RNAcentral lists this ribosomal RNA (308 nucleotides) under uncultured bacterium. RNAcentral describes it as "bacterial SSU rRNA". It matches the Rfam family "Bacterial small subunit ribosomal RNA", at positions 425 to 724 of the family's 1533-position model. The record is from RNAcentral.
GUAAACUCUGUUGUUAGGGAAGAACAAGUGGUAUAACUGACCCGAUCUUGACGGUACCUAACCAGAAAGCCACGGCUAACUACGUGCCAGCAGCCGCGGUAAUACGUAGGUGGCAAGCGUUGUCCGGAAUUAUUGGGCGUAAAGCGCGCGCAGGUGGUUUCUUAAGUCUGAUGUGACAGCCCACGGCCUCAACCGUGGAGGGUCAUUGGCAAACUGGGGAACUUGAGUGCAGACACAGGAAAGUGGCAUUCCAAGUUGUACCGGUGAAAUUGCGUAGAUCUCUGGCGGAACCACAUUGGCGAUUGCGA